AUUAAUUACAUCAUAUUACAUCAUCUUGAAACCAUUCAAUAUUUAUUCGAAACGUUUUUUGAUAUUUCUAAAAACAAACGAUAUUCUAGAUGAUGAAUUUAAAUGAAAGAUUUAAAAUAUCGAACUUUAUGUGGACGUAACACUGCUUACAUUCGUUGCUUCGAGGACGCUACUUCAUCUAACAUUUGAACGUUCCCUCUACAAUCGUGUUCUUUUGCAAUACUCCAUGGUAUUUUAUUCUCAGUACCCCCUUUUCUCUACAAUGAGCUCUUUUGUACCCGUUACUGUAUCGCCUUUUAUCAUUCUUGUUACGUUUUUCAUGUUUCUUACUCAACUGUAGUAAUGAGCAUUCAAUGAAACUCCAGGAUUUUAAAUCGUGCUUUAAAACUUCAAAUGCAAGACGAAUAUAAUAGAAACUUAAUCAUGGUUUGUGCAAAAUUAAAAAAAAAUAAAGAAUGAAAUAAAUUACCGACAAUAUAUCGUAUAAUAUACAUAAACAGAAAGAUUUGAAAUGAAUAAAAUAUUAUUUUUCGCAAAUAUUAUUUUCUCUUUCAUUCAACGUUUUAUUUUCGAGACAGCAU
This is a long non-coding RNA of Apis dorsata (giant honeybee), 581 nucleotides long. RefSeq lists it as uncharacterized. The transcript has 2 exons. Lineage: Eukaryota; Metazoa; Arthropoda; Insecta; Hymenoptera; Apidae. The record is from RefSeq and is a predicted model, not a curated record.